GGGAAUCCCUACCCUACUCUCCAUUUUUAGCUCUUCUUUACCAGCCUCUAAAAUCCUUUCUUCCCUUCUUUUUUUUCUCUCCUUUUUUGCUUCUGGGUCUCCUCUGCUCUUUGAUUCUGUGCUCACAUGGACAAGUACGAGGUCGUUAAGGAUUUGGGUGCUGGCAAUUUCGGCGUUGCCCGACUUCUCAGGCAUAAGGACACCAAAGAGCUUGUUGCCAUGAAGUACAUAGAACGUGGUCACAAGAUAGAUGAGAAUGUGGCAAGA
This 267-nucleotide unclassified non-coding RNA is filed under the name Hevea brasiliensis (rubber tree). Lineage: Eukaryota; Viridiplantae; Streptophyta; Magnoliopsida; Malpighiales; Euphorbiaceae. The record is from RNAcentral.